Non-coding RNA from Penaeus vannamei (Pacific white shrimp), 249 nucleotides. The record is from RefSeq and is a predicted model, not a curated record. Lineage: Eukaryota; Metazoa; Arthropoda; Malacostraca; Decapoda; Penaeidae.
ACCAUGUGCGAUGGCCACGCGGUGGUGAUGAAUGCUGUGGUAGUUAGGGAGUGAUGAGUGGACGCUUAGUUCAGCGACUGGCGGAGCUGAACCUUAUCCGUGAUCCGGCCACCGUAGGUACCAAGACCCUCGUCAUCACCAGGCCAAGACAACACCACCCGCAACCAGAAGAUGGCGACACCGACCAAGAAACAGACCGCCUGCUGGGUCAACAGAGGUCAGACGACCCCGGGUUCUACGAUGAAAAGG